This 443-nucleotide ribosomal RNA is filed under the name uncultured bacterium. Its description in RNAcentral is "partial 16S ribosomal RNA". It matches the Rfam family "Bacterial small subunit ribosomal RNA", at positions 338 to 795 of the family's 1533-position model. The record is from RNAcentral.
CCUACGGGUGGCAGCAGUGGGGAAUAUUGGUCAAUGGGCGCAAGCCUGAACCAGCCACGCCGCGUGAAGGAAGAAGGCUUUCGGGUUGUAAACUUCUUUUAUCAGGGACGAAACAAGUGACGGUACCUGAUGAAUAAGCCACGGCUAACUACGUGCCAGCAGCCGCGGGAAUCCGUAGGUGGCAAGCGUUAUCCGGAUUUACUGGGUGUAAAGGGCGUGUAGGCGGGAGGGCAAGUAAGAGGUGAAAACUAUGGGCUCAACCCAUAGCCUGCAUUUGAAACUGUACUUCUUGAGUGCGGGGGAGGCAGUCGGAAUGCGGGGUGUAGCGGUGAAAUGCGUAGAUAUACGGAAGAACACCAGUGGCGAAGGCGGAUUGCUGGACAGUAACUGACGCUGAGGCGCGAAAGCGUGGGGAGCGAACAGGAUUAGAUACCCGAGUAGUC